RNAcentral lists this ribosomal RNA (429 nucleotides) under Carapoia alagoas. RNAcentral describes it as "partial 16S ribosomal RNA". Lineage: Eukaryota; Metazoa; Arthropoda; Arachnida; Araneae; Pholcidae. The record is from RNAcentral.
UUCUUUAAGAAAUUUUUUAAAGUAAAACCUGCUCAAUGUAAAAUAAAUAGCCGCAGUUAACUGUGCUAAGGUAGCAUAAUCACUAGCUUUUUAAUUAAAAGAUAGAAUGAAUGGUUAUAUGAAAUAUCAAUUGUUUCUAUUAAAAAUAAUAAAUUUAAAAAUAAAGUCAAAAUUCUUUUAACAUUUAAGAAAGACGAUAAGACCCUGAAAAACUUAAUAUUUUGCUGGGGCGGCAAAUAAAAUAAACCUUAAUUAAAAAUUUCUCCAAAAAACUAAUACUUAUUAAUAAUAAAGUUACUACAGGGAUAACAGCGCAAUUUUUUUUAAAAGUUCAAAUUAAAAAAAAAGUUUACGACCUCGAUGUUGAAUUAAUACUCUUUACUAAGAGCAAUAUCUAUAAAAGAUAGUCUGUUCGACUAUUAAAUAAUU